Leguminivora glycinivorella is the source of this 1180-nucleotide long non-coding RNA. RefSeq lists it as uncharacterized. Lineage: Eukaryota; Metazoa; Arthropoda; Insecta; Lepidoptera; Tortricidae. The record is from RefSeq and is a predicted model, not a curated record. The transcript is spliced from 2 exons.
UUUAUUUAUUUUAUUUUUCGUGAUACGUAUCUAUUUACAAAUUCCAAGAGAAUCUAUAACGAAUGUAUGUGGUCGAAGCAAUAAAUCUUUCAAGAGUUUUUUGGUAAUUUUUGUUUGUUAUUUUCCUUUUUUUUUACUUUUAAAAUGUAAAUACCUACGAAAAUAUUACGAAGAGAACCCGAUGCCAUUAAUAAUGUGUUAAAAACAUGCGGAAAAUUUUCUGUAGAAAAAUAAAAAAAAUCUGGAGUUUAGGUAAUAAACAGUGUCCUGUCGUCGCACAUGAUACGAGUGUCCCGGCCGCGCUUGCUGACCGCGCGGCCGUUGCUCGUCCGGUGUCCGGCGCCGGUACCCGUACUGUCGCCGCGGACACAGCGCCCAUCGCUGCUAGAGUCACGUCCGGUGCUUCGAGCGAGUGACGCCGCUGCCCGCCGCCGCUGCUGCAUCGGCUGCGUCGCCAAACUGGUCGACUCUUUCCUUACUAAUUACUCAUAAGUAGGUAUAAGUGAUCUUGUUCAUAUUAUAAGGCGAUUUAAUAGUCCGUGCAAACAUUUAGAAUAUUUUUUGUCGUGUUUACUUUUUUUUUUCAAUUACUUUUUUAUAAUAUUAUGAACAUUCGAUCAUUUAUUAAAGUAAGGUUUAGGUACUAGGAAAAAUGGUCAGUGAAAGGCCUGACGUGAAGUUCACGAAAAUGUUGAAUGUUAAUUGAUAGCCUGAACUGGAGCAGGUAAUCAAACAUGAACCUGCUUAUCUUUUAUACUACUAAUAAUCAACGGAAGAUGUAAGACGCCAGAAUAAGUACCUACCUACCAAUUUUUUAGGUUCCAAAUUCAGUUGGAAUAAAAAUCUAACUAUUUUUUUUUAUAAAUAUACCUAGUUUUGGCAAGAAAUACGAAUGUCCACUUUUUGAUUUAUUUGUCACCGACUUUUUGUAAGUAGGUACCUUGAUAACAUUUUAACUCAAUAGGUAGGUACUUAAAAUAUCACUUGCAUAUAAAAAUGGUAAAAUGCAAGAAAAAGUUUCAUAAAUUUUGUAGACAAAAGACGUAAUGUAAACACGACUUAAAUCGUCUAAAUGUGGUUUCUCAUGAAUACAGAGACAACGUAUGGACUUACCAUGAACUAUAUUUCCAUAGUUGUUUACAAUUACAUAUACACCUAAUAAAUAGUCCAGUUAGAGUGA